UUAAAUUUUGAUUAAUCACAAAGUUGGUAUUUCUUCUUCUGUUUCUGUUAUUUUUCCAUCUUGUAUUUAUCAUUCAUCACUCUCAACUCUCAUCACACAGAAAGAAGAUUGAGAUUCGAUCCAAAAUGGCGACGAAUGAACCAACACAGAUCGCCAUUCUAGGAGCCGGUACAUUUGUGAAGAAUCAGUACAUUCCUAGACUCUCGGAGAUUUCUAAUCUCUUCAACCUCAAAGCAAUUUGGAGCAGAACUCAAGAAUCUGCAACUUCUGCUGUUGAAAUAGCUAACAAACAUUUUGGUGGUGGUGAAGUUCAAUGUAAAUGGGGAGAUAAUGGUCUUGAUGAUAUCAUUCAAGAUCCAUCCAUAACUGCUGUUCUUGUUGUUUUGGCUGGACAAUAUCAGGUUGACAUCUCACUCAAGUUGUUAAAGGCUGGUAAACAUGUCCUUCAAGAGAAACCGGCAGCAUCUUCCAUAAGCGAGCUGGAAACUGCAUUAUCUAACUACAAAUCGAUUUCUGCUGAUGCUCCUGGCCAAAAAAUUUGGUCUGUGGCUGAAAAUUAUCGUUUUGAGCCUGCCUUAUUAGAGGGUAAGAAACUAAUUGCUGACAUUGGGAAAAUGAUGAGUGUCCAAGUUAUUAUAGAAGGAUCAAUGAACAGUUCAAACCCUUACUUUUCAAGCUCUUGGAGGCGCAAUUUUACUGGAGGCUUCAUUCUUGAUAUGGGCGUGCAUUUCAUUGCAGGGUUGAGAAUGCUAGUUGGGUGUGAGGUGGUUUCAGUUUCAGCUAUGACAUCUCAUGUAGAUUUGACCUUACCACCACCAGAUAAUUUAUCAUCUGUCUUUCAUUUGGAGAAUGGAUGCUCAGGAGUAUUUGUAAUGGUUGUCUCCUCCAGAUCACCUAAGAUCUUGUGGCGAGUUGUUGGCACAAAUGGAACCCUUCAAAUUGAGCGUGGAUUCCAAGGACAGCAUGGUUACCUGGUUACAUCAUAUGAUGCUAAUGGACAAAGCAAAAGCUCAUUUUUCCCAUUCAGUGGAGUAACUGAAGAAUUAAAAGCUUUUUUUAAUGAUGUUUCUGAAAACACCCUCAAGAAGGGUAGUCAGUUUGUGCCUGAGCACCGUCUCUCUUUUGUCGAGGGUGCGAGAGAUGUUGCUCUUUUAGAGGCAAUGCUUGAAUCUGGAUCAAGGCAGGGCGAGCUAGUUCAUGUGAAAAAGUUUUGAGGUGAUCAUAGAACUCUUCGCGUCGGCUUUCUUAAUUCAGUAUCUACAGAUAUUUACUGGGUGUAAAUGAACAAGCCCGUGGAUCAAGUCAGGGAGAUCAAUGUGGUUGGAUGGAGUUUUAAGAUUUGUAUAAAUUUAUUGAAAUUAUUAUUGGUAUGCUCGUGCUGAUGCAUCUCAAACUUCUAAUAUCUCGAGACAAAGUAUUCGAAAUAAUGCCAUGUAAGUUGAAUUUAUUACAAUGUCCCAUGCAUCUGUUGAUAAAGGGACAAAUUUAGUAGGUGCUCUCAUCUUUUCCUUUGGAGUAAGAAUUUAGUAUGAAUAUCAGAUCUUUUUAAACUGAUCAGGAGACAAUAAAAAUGCACAAGCAUUGUUUCACAGUCGCAACCAAAUGAGCGUGGGGGGAAAACGUUGGCACUUCCAUUUAAACAGAAUC
Molecule: RNA transcript, 1647 nt
Organism: Trifolium pratense (red clover)
Lineage: Eukaryota; Viridiplantae; Streptophyta; Magnoliopsida; Fabales; Fabaceae
Gene name: glucose--fructose oxidoreductase-like
Exons: 12
Source: RefSeq, a predicted model, not a curated record